RNAcentral lists this ribosomal RNA (179 nucleotides) under uncultured bacterium. Its description in RNAcentral is "partial 16S ribosomal RNA". It matches the Rfam family "Bacterial small subunit ribosomal RNA", at positions 1322 to 1500 of the family's 1533-position model. The record is from RNAcentral.
GAAGCUGGAAUCGCUAGUAAUCGCAGAUCAGAAUGCUGCGGUGAAUACGUUCCCGGGUCUUGUACACACCGCCCGUCACACCAUGGGAGUUGGAAAUGCCCGAAGCCAGUGACCCAACCGUAAGGAGGGAGCUGUCGAAGGUGGAGCCGAUGACUGGGGUGAAGUCGUAACAAGGUAUC